RNAcentral lists this unclassified non-coding RNA (3256 nucleotides) under Dimorphilus gyrociliatus. RNAcentral's name for it is "protein krueppel". The record is from RNAcentral. Lineage: Eukaryota; Metazoa; Annelida; Polychaeta; Dinophilidae.
AAUUCAAUCCCGUCAACCCUAGCGAAGGCCAAUCAAGGAAACAUUUUAUGAAAAAGUCAUCUAAAAUCUUCCAUCCCCAACAUUUUGCACAAACUUGUAAGUGACACAUUUUCUUAAAUCUUAUUAUCUCAAACUAAUUUGGGACUAAACCUGCGUUUGUUACGGAGCUAACAAACUUUAAUCAUCUGUUUUACUGAACGAUAAACUGGUUGUUUCGCUUCAUGCCCUUUUGGCCUGCGUCAACUGACCUAAAUUGGCCUAGACUGUUGAUACGGUCGUUUUAACAGUUAUAAAAUACGUGAAACACUCAUUAAGAUGAUAUUUAGUCAAUUUGAAGUGUUCAAGUUACUUGACAAGCGGAAAUCAUAGAAAAAAUGGCGGUGCGUACACUAACCUUUUUGUCAACAGGUGAACAUGAUCGAAAAUUCAGAACGGAUCGUCGAACAUGUUAAAGACACUGUUAUGGACGUUUGUAGACUUAGUUUGGCCAGUGAAAAUAAGUAUACAGUAGACGGUUUAAUUGGUGUUACUCUAAGUGCCAAUAAGGAAGUGAUUUUAAUCAAAAUCAAUGAAGCUGUUGUCAAUUCAACUGGAAUUGAUCAUAAUGACGAUUCACCAGCUACGAGUAUUCCAGAAUUCGGGGAUGAAAAUGGACCAAUAACAAUGAAAAAUGACGAAUGCAAAUCGGCUAUAGAAGAUUUUGUUUCUGGUCCACAGAUGCAUAAAGUAGAAAGAGCUCGAAUAAAACGACUAAUUUUUGAUACAGUGAUGAUGUUGUGUAAAAGCUCAUUAAAAGAUAUAGAUUUUCAGGUUGAUGGUUUAAUAGGAAUUACACUGGCUGGUAGUGAGGUUUUUUUAAUAAAAUUCGAUCAGCAUGUUAAAUCUCGAUUGGACAUUUGCUCUAUUGCUCGAGCUAGUGGGAUUUUACCGGAAGAAAAUAACAAUGAUACAACUAAUCUUGCAGGAGAAAUGGUGGAAGAAGAUAAAAAACCCGACUUACAAACCCUUGAAUCCAUUCCGUUUCACCCUCCCUCAAAUAUUCCUGUUCCUAUUAUGGGCGUUCCACAAGAUUUAGGUCAUUCAGUAGAAAUGACACAACUCCAAUCUUCCGGUCCUAUGGGAUACCAACCUGUUAUACAACAUACAACCAUGAUGAUGCAACACAACCAAAAUAUGCAUCAAAUACAAUAUCCUGGUGGACCACCGACGCAUUGGAACGCUCAACCAGACAAGACAUACACCGAACUUAAAUCGCCCAAGGAAGAAGCCAUGAUGUCCCAACAAAUUACCAUGUCUCCAAUUAGAACGCCAGAUAAGGAUAUGAACCGAAAGAAAAGAUCUUUUCAAUGUGACCGAUGUACAAAGAUGUUUACUUGCAGGGCUCUGUUGGACAAUCAUAUAAGAACGCACACGGGGGAAAAGCCAUUUACAUGCGACAUUUGCCACAAAUCGUUCAAAGAAAAAUCGCAUCUUCGACGCCAUAAAUGGACACAUGAUGAUACAAGGCCGCAUAAUUGUUCCCAUUGCAAUAAGGGAUUUAUCACUAAAGGUGAAUUCAGAAAUCAUAUGAAGAGGUAUCACGAAGUGGAGAUCCCCUGAAAGAUAACAAAAGCGUGAAAGAGAGAGUGAGUGAGAAUUUUUAGACCCAAUCCCAAACAACAUAGUCUUUCGCUAACGUUCCAAGUUAUUACUUCUCUCCUUUAUUUUCUAUUUCUAACGCUUGAGAUUAUAUUAAUAGCAUCUACCGUCUACUUUUUUAUAAAAAUUUUACACAACUAAGCACAACGUAUGCUUUUUUUUGCAAAAAGACUAACUAUUGGAUAAACUGUUUUUCUUCAUUAUUGAGCCAUUCAGAGGACGAACUGUGAUACCUGUGCUAGGUGAUGUAUAGUUAAAGAGAGAGAGAGAGAGAGAGAGAGAGAGAGAGAGAGAAUAGGGAAAAAGCGAAAAUACUCUACUAAAACUACUUUCUUCUUUGUUUUUGGUUUUUUUUCUCAUCAAAAUUUAAAAGAUCAAUAGUUUUUAUUUCCUUCUUUUCUUUUUUAUAUUAUUUAAGAUAAAACGAGAAAAGAUGGAUUAUGGGCAAAUUUCUAUUCUUUCAUAAUAUUCAAAGGCAAAACAACGGAGGUGGGAGGGGAGAGAAUUAACGAUAAGAAAUAUAUUUUUGUUUUUCGCUCUACACCAAAAAUAGAUUAUUUUUCGUUUUUUCAAUUCUUCCCCUAACUCUUUAAUAUAUUUCACCGCCUGUGUUCACGUGGGUAGACGAGAAUAAAGAUGUGGUGGAGGGGGGGAGGAGGGUAAGAGUACGGGUUAGGGUGGGCCAGAUAGAUAUAAAAUGAAUCUACCUAUGACAUUACGAGACUUGUGAUUAUAUUUUAUUAUUUCAAUGGAGAAAAAAAACGAAAAAUGAAAGCAAAACUUUGUUGUUAAAUAUUUUAUAUAAAGGAAAAAAGAUAGAGAGGAAAAAGUGUAUAAAUAGUAAAAAGUUAGUUCACCCAUAAGUCUUUUUCAUCUCAAAUCUUGUUUAACUUUUUAAAAUUUUUUACUCUCUCUUUGCGUGCUUCUCUAAAAAAAAACUUGUAUAAAAAAAUUCGGCUCAUACGUGCCUUAUUAUGUAAAAAACAAAAACAAAAAGUUAAAAAACAAAAGAAAGAAAGAAAGAAAACAAAAAGAAAGAAAAACUUUUUUUUAGUUUAUAGGUUUUUUUUUGUUUUUGUUUUGUAUUGUUUUUUUUUUCUUUUGUUGUUUAUCUUUUUAUUUUAAAUUUGUGAACCAUUUCUAUUAAUACGAAAAUAUUAUAUGCAAUCAAAGUUUUCAUUUCUACAUUGUGCUCAUGUAUACGCAUUAUACGUGCCAUUUUUUAAAAUUGUAGAAUUUUUUGGUUUUUUUUUUCUUCUUCUUUUGUUUGUUUUUUUUUUCAUCCUUUAUUUAGAGGAGAAAAAGAAAAAGGCCAUUUAAUCGUCAUGUAGUUGAUUUAGUUUAUUAAAAUUUUAUUUUUUAUAUUCCCUUCCCUUCUUCCUUCCCUUUCCCCCAAAACAAUGUUUUAAUUUCUUUCUUUUUCUUUCACUUUUUUUUUUGUAUAUUGUAUAAAUAAUUAAGCAAAUACAUAUUAUAUAUAUAUAUAUGUGUUUGUAUAGUUUUAUACAUUGUUUUUUCUUUUUGUCUAAAACUUAUGUGUUUAUAUAUUUAUAUAUAAAUGAAUAGUUUUUAUUUUUUUAUAAAUUAUGACAAAAAAGUUUGUGCUAUACAGGGAAUU